GGGGGGGGUGGGGGGCGGGCCUAGGACAUGCAGGUCGAGCGGCUGGACGGGGAGGUUGCUCCGCUUACGGUAGGGGCGGGCGGGUGAGUAACAGGUGGAUGACCGCCCGAUAGGGCUGGGGUAACGUCGGGGGCCCGGCGCUAGUACCGGCUAAUAUAGUGACCCUCGUGGUUCAUUAGGUCAAGCGGUUUUUGCUGUGCCUGAUUGCUGGUUGCGCGCCGCAUUAGCUAGUUGGUAAGGUAACGGCUUACCAAGGCAACGAUGCGUAGCCGACCUGAGAGGGUGAUCGGCCACACUGGAACUGAGACACGGUCCAGACUCCUACGGGAGGCAGCAGUAGGGAAUCUUCCGCAAUGGGCGAAAGCCUGACGGAGCAACGCCGCGUGAGUGAUGAAGGUCUUCGGAUCGUAAAACUCUGUUAGUAGGGAAGAACAAAUGUGUAAGUAACUAUGCACGUCUUGACGGUACCUAAUCAGAAAGCAACGGCUAACUACGUG
RNAcentral lists this ribosomal RNA (497 nucleotides) under uncultured bacterium. RNAcentral's name for it is "partial 16S ribosomal RNA". It matches the Rfam family "Bacterial small subunit ribosomal RNA", at positions 38 to 507 of the family's 1533-position model. The record is from RNAcentral.